This 492-nucleotide ribosomal RNA is filed under the name uncultured bacterium. RNAcentral's name for it is "partial 16S ribosomal RNA". It matches the Rfam family "Bacterial small subunit ribosomal RNA", at positions 29 to 507 of the family's 1533-position model. The record is from RNAcentral.
AUUGAACGCUGGCGGCAUGCUUUACACAUGCAAGUCGAACGGUAACAGGCCUUCGGGUGCUGACGAGUGGCGAACGGGUGAGUAAUGCAUCGGAACGUACCCAGAGGUGGGGGAUAACGCAGCGAAAGCUGUGCUAAUACCGCAUGUGAUCUGAGGAUGAAAGCGGGGGACCGAGCAGCAAUGUUUGGCCUCGCGCCUUUGGAGCGGCCGAUGUCGGAUUAGCUAGUUGGUGGGGUAAAGGCCUACCAAGGCGACGAUCCGUAGCUGGUCUGAGAGGACGAGCAGCCACACUGGGACUGAGACACGGCCCAGACUCCUACGGGAGGCAGCAGUGGGGAAUUUUGGACAAUGGGCGCAAGCCUGAUCCAGCAAUGCCGCGUGGGGGAAGAAGGCCUUCGGGUUGUAAACCGCUUUUGGCAGGAACGAAACGGUGUCCGCUAAUACCGGGCGCUAAUGACGGUACCUGCAGAAUAAGCACCGGCUAACUACGUG